UACGUAGGGGGCAAGCGUUGUCCGGAAUCAUUGGGCGUAAAGAGCGUGUAGGCGGUCCGGUAAGUCCGCUGUGAAAGUCCAGGGCUCAACCCUGGAAUGCCGGUGGAAACUGUCGGGCUAGAGUCCGGAAGAGGCGAGUGGAAUUCCUGGUGUAGCGGUGAAAUGCGCAGAUAUCAGGAGGAACACCAAUGGCGAAGGCAGCUCGCUGGGACGGUACUGACGCUGAGACGCGAAAGCGUGGGGAGCAAACAGG
Molecule: ribosomal RNA, 253 nt
Filed under: uncultured bacterium
Lineage: Bacteria
Description: partial 16S ribosomal RNA
Rfam family: Bacterial small subunit ribosomal RNA
Source: RNAcentral